AUGCAGCCGCGUCUGGAAUCCACAUUUGGCCCCGCGCCAUCCGCACCCAGCUGACGAUUGCUCGCUACGUUGUGUUAGCC
RNAcentral lists this small RNA (80 nucleotides) under Xanthomonas campestris. RNAcentral's name for it is "sX9 sRNA". It matches the Rfam family "Xanthomonas sRNA sX9". The record is from RNAcentral. Lineage: Bacteria; Pseudomonadati; Pseudomonadota; Gammaproteobacteria; Lysobacterales; Lysobacteraceae.